This 378-nucleotide unclassified non-coding RNA is filed under the name Hevea brasiliensis (rubber tree). Lineage: Eukaryota; Viridiplantae; Streptophyta; Magnoliopsida; Malpighiales; Euphorbiaceae. The record is from RNAcentral.
UUUACACGCUUCCGCAGUGCACAAUAGUUUGCUUAUGAUAUUGUCACAAUUGUUGCUUUAUUUUGGUUGAAUAUAUCACUACAUAGUUCUAUUAAUUUUUCCCUUAGAAAUUAUGGUGAUUUUGACGUGUAUUUCAUUAAGUGACACAAUUUAUAAACCUUGGAUUUCAACUAUUUGUUCUUUGCUUUGGUUCUUAAUCUUUACUUAUCAUUCUUAUUAUUCUUAAAUAGAAAUCAUUAUUUAGCCAAGAAACUAAGUACUAAAACUAAGUACUAAAAUUGUGUAGGAAAUGUGUUGUGGUGUUAUUAAGAUUUUGACAACUAGAUUAUUCUAAUUUAACACCCAUGAAAUUGUUACUUUGGAAUAAUCUAGUUGUCA